GAGGGUAUAACUCAGUGGUAGAGCAUGUGCUUAGCAUGCACAAGGCCCUGGGUUCAAUCCCCAGUACCUCUA
This 72-nucleotide transfer RNA is filed under the name Camelus bactrianus (Bactrian camel). It matches the Rfam family "tRNA". Rfam says of the family: Transfer RNA (tRNA) molecules are approximately 80 nucleotides in length. Their secondary structure includes four short double-helical elements and three loops (D, anti-codon, and T loops). RNAcentral also lists the same sequence under 2 other names. The record is from Rfam by way of RNAcentral. Lineage: Eukaryota; Metazoa; Chordata; Mammalia; Artiodactyla; Camelidae.